UGCUACAAUGGCGGUGACAAUGGGAGGCAAAGGGGCGACCCCUCGCAAAUCUCAAGGAGGCAGCCGACCACGGUCGGGUCAGCGACUGGGGUG
RNAcentral lists this ribosomal RNA (93 nucleotides) under uncultured bacterium. RNAcentral describes it as "partial 16S ribosomal RNA". The record is from RNAcentral.